Molecule: ribosomal RNA, 180 nt
Filed under: Triticum aestivum (bread wheat)
Lineage: Eukaryota; Viridiplantae; Streptophyta; Magnoliopsida; Poales; Poaceae
Description: partial small subunit ribosomal RNA
Source: RNAcentral
GUCCAAGCCUUGAAAUUUGGGUAUAGAUGGAAGGUGGGCAUGGGAAACCAAAUCAGGUUAUGGGAAGAUACCUGGUUUGGCACAUCCCUACUAGCAGUGCAAUUCUGGUCUGUUUACACAGUUUGUAAUGAACAGACUAAAAGCAUUAGAGAUGUGUGGGAUGGAGAAAACCUUAUGCUU